This 300-nucleotide ribosomal RNA is filed under the name uncultured bacterium. RNAcentral describes it as "bacterial SSU rRNA". It matches the Rfam family "Bacterial small subunit ribosomal RNA", at positions 498 to 796 of the family's 1533-position model. The record is from RNAcentral.
UUCCUACGGGAGGCAGCAGCCGCGGUAAUACGUAGGUGGCGAGCGUUAUCCGGAAUGAUUGGGCGUAAAGGGUGCGUAGGCGGCCUGCUAAGUCUGGAGUGAAAGGUACCGGCUCAACCGGUACAGGCUCUGGAAACUGGCGGGCUAGAGAGCAGGAGAGGGCGGUGGAACUCCAUGUGUAGCGGUAAAAUGCGUAGAUAUAUGGAAGAACACCAGUGGCGAAGGCGGCCGCCUGGCCUGUUACUGACGCUGAGGCACGACAGCGUGGGGAGCAAAUAGGAUUAGAAACCCUGGUAGUCC